Molecule: ribosomal RNA, 492 nt
Filed under: uncultured bacterium
Lineage: Bacteria
Description: partial 16S ribosomal RNA
Rfam family: Bacterial small subunit ribosomal RNA
Source: RNAcentral
AUUGAACGCUGGCGGCAUGCUUUACACAUGCAAGUCGAACGGUAACAGGCCUUCGGGUGCUGACGAGUGGCGAACGGGUGAGUAAUGCAUCGGAACGUGCCCAGAGGUGGGGGAUAACGCAGCGAAGGCUGUGCUAAUACCGCAUGUGAUCUGAGGAUGAAAGCGGGGGACCAAGCAGCAAUGUUUGGCCUCGCGCCUCUGGAGCGGCCGAUGUCAGAUUAGGUAGUUGGUGGGGUAAAGGCCUACCAAGCCGACGAUCUGUAGCUGGUCUGAGAGGACGACCAGCCACACUGGGACUGAGACACGGCCCAGACUCCUACGGGAGGCAGCAGUGGGGAAUUUUGGACAAUGGGCGCAAGCCUGAUCCAGCAAUGCCGCGUGCGGGAAGAAGGCCUUCGGGUUGUAAACCGCUUUUGUACGGAACGAAAAGGCUCUGGCUAAUACCUGGGGCUGAUGACGGUACCGUAAGAAUAAGCACCGGCUAACUACGUG